This 292-nucleotide ribosomal RNA is filed under the name uncultured Pseudomonas sp. RNAcentral describes it as "partial 16S ribosomal RNA". It matches the Rfam family "Bacterial small subunit ribosomal RNA", at positions 505 to 796 of the family's 1533-position model. The record is from RNAcentral. Lineage: Bacteria; Pseudomonadati; Pseudomonadota; Gammaproteobacteria; Pseudomonadales; Pseudomonadaceae.
GUGCCAGCCGCCGCGGUAAUACGAAGGGUGCAAGCGUUAAUCGGAAUUACUGGGCGUAAAGCGCGCGUAGGUGGUUCAGUAAGUUGGAUGUGAAAUCCCCGGGCUCAACCUGGGAACUGCAUCCAAAACUGCUGAGCUAGAGUACGGUAGAGGGUGGUGGAAUUUCCUGUGUAGCGGUGAAAUGCGUAGAUAUAGGAAGGAACACCAGUGGCGAAGGCGACCGCCUGGACUGAUACUGACACUGAGGUGCGAAAGCGUGGGGAGCAAACAGGAUUAGAUACCCCGGUAGUCC